CGAGGACGAACGCUGGCGGCGUGCCUAACACAUGCAAGUCGAACGGAGUCAAGAAGCUUGCUUUUGACUUAGUGGCGGACGGGUGAGUAACGCGUGAGUAACCUGCCUCUGAGAGGGGAAUAACGUUCUGAAAAGAACGCUAAUACCGCAUAAUGUAUCGAAGCCGCAUGACUUUGAUACCAAAGAUUUUAUCGCUCGGAGAUGGACUCGCGUCCGAUUAGUUAGUUGGUGAGGUAACGGCUCACCAAGACCGCGAUCGGUAGCCGGACUGAGAGGUUGAUCGGCCACAUUGGGACUGAGACACGGCCCAGACUCCUACGGGAGGCAGCAGUGGGGGAUAUUGCGCAAUGGGGGCAACCCUGACGCCAGCAACGCCGCGUGAAGGAUGAAGGUUUUCGGAUUGUAAACUUCUUUUAUCAGGGACGAAGCUUGACGGUACCUGAUGAAUAAGCUCCGGCUAACUACGUGCCAGCAGCGGC
RNAcentral lists this ribosomal RNA (479 nucleotides) under uncultured bacterium. RNAcentral's name for it is "bacterial SSU rRNA". It matches the Rfam family "Bacterial small subunit ribosomal RNA", at positions 26 to 518 of the family's 1533-position model. The record is from RNAcentral.